Molecule: long non-coding RNA, 620 nt
Filed under: Fukomys damarensis (Damara mole-rat)
Lineage: Eukaryota; Metazoa; Chordata; Mammalia; Rodentia; Bathyergidae
Description: lncRNA (ENSFDAG00000032546.1)
Source: RNAcentral
UGCCCAUACUGCACCUCAUAUCAGCUGGACAUGGUGGGCACCGGUCCACCCUCUAAUUCCCUUGCCCUGUAGUGUGUAUUGGGCAGGGCAUGGGUUUUGGAGCCAGAAAGCUCUGGUAUUAAGCCCAGCUAAACCCACGACUUUACCCCAGACUCCUUUCUUGUCCCCCGGCCUCCCGACUGGAUGGGACUGAUCUCCUCCCUACCCUGCUUCAUAGCAUUCUCGUCACUUUCCGGAAUCUUUGUGCAGUUGUCUCUUCUCUGCCAGCAAGUCAGCUCUGGGAAGAGGGAGAAUCAGCCUGUGCUGUUUACUGCCCUCAUACUUGCUUACCCCCAGGCCACAAUUCUUCAUCGCUAGAGGAACGGAUGCUCUCUGCCAGGCUGUCUGGCUCUGAUGUCCAGCUCCCUACUUCUGGCUAUCUGCAGCUUGUGCCCUGGCCCACGCAGCGUGAGUCACAUUUCAAGAACGUCGGGAACUUACUCAUUGUAAGGAUUUGACAUUAUCUGGAGAACCUUUUCACUCUUCAAAUCGUCCCUUUCUGAUGUGGUCCUUGGCAGUGUUCUCCAUCCCUCCGGCUUGUUUGGGUUGGGUCUCUGGAUGGGGCCAGGCCAGGCCAGCAC